RNAcentral lists this ribosomal RNA (492 nucleotides) under uncultured bacterium. RNAcentral describes it as "partial 16S ribosomal RNA". It matches the Rfam family "Bacterial small subunit ribosomal RNA", at positions 28 to 507 of the family's 1533-position model. The record is from RNAcentral.
GAUGAACGCUGGCGGCGUGCCUAACACAUGCAAGUCGAGCGACCAGACGAGGAGCUUGCUCCCUUACCGUUAGCGGCUGACGGGUGAGUAACACGUGCAUAACCUACUUCUUAGUCUGGGAUAACUUCGUGAAACCGGUUCUAAUACUGGAUAAUACAUUCUACCGCUUGGUUCAAUAGUUCUUCACGCCUUUCCCGCCUCAUUUAGCUGAAGUCGCAUUAGCUUGUUGGCAGGGUAACGUCCCACCAAGGCAACGAUGCGUAGCUGGCCUGAGAGGAUGAUCGGCCACACUGGAACUGAGACACGGUCCAGACUCCUACGGGAGGCAGCAGUGGGGAAUCUUGGACAAUGGGCGAAAGCCUGACGGAGCAACGCCGCGUGAGUGAGGAAGGUCUUCGGGUCGUAAAGCCCUGUUGUUGGGAAAGAACAGCAGUAGAAGUAAAUAUGGACGUCUUGACGGUACCUAAACAGAAAGCCACGGCUAACUACGUG